This 1101-nucleotide long non-coding RNA is filed under the name Anser brachyrhynchus (Pink-footed goose). RNAcentral's name for it is "lncRNA (ENSABRG00000021647.1)". Lineage: Eukaryota; Metazoa; Chordata; Aves; Anseriformes; Anatidae. The record is from RNAcentral.
UUGGUCUUAAGCUGUGAUGCUUUUUUUUGUGUAGCUUUCCUUACCCUGAUGAUUGGCUGAUGUGUCCCUUUACAGGGCUGAUGCUCUUCUUUCACCUUCCCAGAGUGUUGUGUCUGAAUUUUGAGAAGAAUAGUAAGCUGCCACAGGAACUGGACAGAAAAUCACCAGUUAUAACUGCUGCAAAAGGAAGGAACCAAGGCACUUUUGUACUGCCAACCAAAUGUUGUAAGGAACUGAACCCAAUUCCUUCCUGUUGCUGCCUGCAUGGUAUGGCUGCCUGGAGAAAGGAGAGAUUGCAGGUGAGCCAGCCACUGACCCUACUUUCCCUGUUGCGCACGGGCCACCGCUGAGCAGGCUUCAAGCCCUUCUCUGUGCAGGUGCACUUGGUAGCAGCUGAUGCAAGGGGACAGAUGCUGGGAACCGAUUAUGCUGCCAUGUGCCAAACACUAAUAAUCUCUUAUCCACAUUCAGACAGCAGAUAUUAGUAAUUUUAGUUUUGGCGUUACAUUAUGCUAUUUGCAGAUGCCUGAAAUUUUUUGUCAUAAUCACCUGGUAAACUGCACUAUAGAAUGUUUUUCUCAUCUUCUCUCCUGUCACAUUAAGACAGAAAAUAAGUAAGGUGAAGAAAUAGGAAUUUCCCGUUCAAAGAACAGAAGCUUGGAGUUGGAAAUGCAAAGAGAAACAUGUGUUGUGAACAGGAGGGACUUAAAGCUGGUGGCUGCUCUGUGAGCAAUACAAGGUCUCAGGGUACUUCCUAGUGAACAGAUGUUGUGCUCCUAAAAUGAGCAUGGCCACAAUUAGUAGACAUGUUGGUAGUCUAGUAGAAUGGUCAGGGAAUACUUAUGUAGAUAGGUGAUCAGUUCAGAUCAUUAAUGGUUUUAUUAAUAAUGUAGGAUUUGCUGUGUUGAACAGCAAAGUGCAGAAACACUGUGACAAAAAAGCACACAAGACUUGAUAUGGCCACUGAUGUUGCAGAGCUUGCUUUGUAAGGCCUUAAUUCUUUGGUACUACUAAAUGAUUGUAAUGCAAAGGGAAAAGUGAAAAUCUUAUGUAUAACACAGGUAGCAGAUAACACUAGUAAAAAUCAGACUUCAGAAAAAA